UCAUGAGUGCUCACCUGGUAGAGGGAAGACCCUGAACGUCCAGACCGUUCCCCUGACCGGCCACGUGUGGACUCUUGGUGGCUCUGCUGUCUCAGCCCAGCCUUUCCGUGGCCUGACACUGAUUGUGUGUCUGAGUUUUCUGAAUGUCCCUCACUGUCACUGGCCUGACUACCGCUAGACCCCCGGUGUCCACGAUCGCUGACUGCAGAUGAAGCUUGCCCGCGCCCAGUGGCUGAGUGUCUGGAGCUGUCUGCUGACUGCUGGUGGCCGGAUCCAUGUCUUUCUCCUGGACUUGAUCUUGCCUGUUCAUGGGAUGAUGCAGUCUGUCCACGAGAGGAAGUCUCUGCGUGACGAGUGCCUGAUUGUCUGGAGCUGUCUGCAGAGUGCCCAUGACUGGCUCUGUCUUCAUCAUGGGACCUGGGGUGUCUGGAGCCAUCUCUUGACUGCUCCCACGCAGAUCCAUGAUGGUUUCUGGAAGCCGACCCAGAGUGCCUCUCAGAGUCUUCUGAGUGUCCCUCACUGUCCCUGUCCUGGCUAACUCUGGAUCCCCUACGCUUUCUUGUCCUGGACUCCUGCAAUGGUGAAAUUGAAGGCCAGCUUUUGGAACUCAACCUUCAAAGGAACUUAAAAUUUCCAUUAUGUAGAGUCCCUGAGGAAACUGGAUCCACUAGCUACACUGGCUGAGAAUGCUCUCACCCCAGGAUUUCAUUUUUAUUUUACCACAUCAUUGUUGGUAUCUUAAGAUCAAUGUACUGGAGCAGCGGGGUCUCACAAAGAGGAUACCUGGUGACACGCCCAGGCUUUCAGAAUGCACUAUAGGGCUUUAGUGACUUGUCCAGGUUCAGCUGAAAUGUGCCAUCUGGGACCUACUAAUGCUUGUUGAACUUUACUGGAUCUCAGAAGCUGGGUCUCAGAAGCUCAGAUGUUCCUCAGAGCUACGAUAUCAACAACCUGUGAUGACAGAGAGAAGGUUGCUCCAUGAUGGAUUUGGAAACUUACUGGCUAGCUAAACCUGACUGAAUGGGAAGGAAUGUGGAUAGCUUUGGAACUCUAGUUUCACUAGAUGAGCUGGAAUUUGUAUUUUGACAAAUUGCACGUUAUGAUUAUUAAGUAAUGCAACUGAUUUUUUUUUCCCUUAAAACAAACAAUCUAGAAUCUGUGUAAUCAAAAUAAUUUCUCUAAAAGGCUGCAAGUAUAUGCUUAAAGUGUUGGGGCAUUCAGAGCAUUUGGAACAUUACAUUCUUUUGAAUGUCAAUUGGUAGAUGAAAAUACCAGCUUUUAAGUCAUACAUUUGAUUUUUUGAAACAAUAUGCAUUUAGAGUUUGUAAGUCAAGUGAAUAACUGAUAAGGUAAAAAAAAGGGGGAGUUCAUUGUUGAGUAUGAAUUUAAAGUAACCAGACUGCCUUUUGUCCAGUGGCUGUCAGUAAUUUACUUCAGCAGGCAUUUUUUUUUUUUUGAGGCUGUUCUAUGAUAUCAUGACCCUUCUUGUAGGAAUGUGCUUCCAGUGGUGAGGCAGUCUGAGAAUGUGUGAAGCAGUAUAAUGAAGCCAGACCAAGAUGGAAGCUUGGCCUGGGAUUUGAGCAUCAGGAAAACUGUUGAAGGGUUAUGUAUACAUCACACACACACACACACACACACACACACACACACACACACACACACUCUCUUCCAUACUCCUAUAACAACGUAUAGUAUUUACUAUACCUGGUGACAGGUAUUUACUAUACAUUGUUGAAGAUCUAUAACAUGGAAUGCCUAGUGCUAAGUGCAGUGUCCUUAGUGAAAUUGUAUUGGUUUGGAAUUAUUUAUGAGUUUGGGAUUAUUUGUCACUACCCUUAAAUGAUCUUGACACUCACCUAUUUGAAAAGAUAUUGAGGAUUUGCCAUUUGAUAUUGACCAGGGUGUAUUGUGCACAAAUAUUGUGAAUAUACAUCUGUCUGUCCUUAAAUCACUGUAAGUUUUAACUGGAAUAGAUUUGCUCCACAUUACUCGGUAGGGCUGAUAUUUCAUGCCUCAUGGAUGAGAAAAGAAUAGGCAAAAAUUAUAUCUCGGGCUGCCUCACACAUCUUUUAACAGGAUAAGGGAAAAAUAAAUAUAAGACCUAUGAGUUAUGGCAUCAGGCUUGAACUUUAAUUUAUGAAUUAAACCAACAAUAUUAUUGAUUAUUGCAAUUAUCUAUCUUAAUUUCAUUUGUUCUCCUUUUAAAAAUUAAUUAUGUUUAUUUUACCUAUUGUGAAUAAAGUCACUCCUCCCAUGUGCUUAUUUCUUGACUCUGGCACUAAUUAUUCUUCAGUGCCUAGAUUUCCUGGGACUGCUCAGUUUAAGUAACUUCUGAACAUUGGUCUCUGAGAGAAAAGACAGUGAAGUGGGAUCUGUGGAAAAACACAUCUGCAAAUGUCUCAUUUUUUUCUUCAGGGGUAAGUUUUCUUCCUUGGAGACUCUUGUCUUGAAAAAGUGAUACUAGAUCACCAUUUGGCAAGAUAAUUACAAAAGGCAGAUAGAGUAAUUAUUUUACAUAGCUGUUAUAGGGUGACUAAGAUCUCAGGGAAUGACUGUGUUCUGUAAUCCACUUGCCCCACUCAAUACCCCAAGUUUUAUACAAGCCAAAGAUGCUUGGAGCAGAAUCUGCUACCUGAGGCUCCAGGGCCUUGGCCUAGGGAAACUAAUACUUAACUUUUUAAGUGGUCAUUGAUGACAUCCCACUCCUUUCUGAGAUGGGUAUGAUUUGAAAGGCAGGUGUAUUCAUGGAGAGCAGGGCUUGGGACCUUUGCUGCAAGAGGAGGAACUAUUAGCCUAGACUUUUCUAAUAAGGACUUUCUCAUACCUGUUUCCUAGAUCUGGUCCACAUAGAAGAAAUCAGGGAACACACAGGGUAGGACUCUUAAAGGAGUAUGUUUCUUGGCUUUUUCCUAAAAACUAAAACAAAAACAUUCAUAGCAAAGCAGUUUAGCCCAGUGACUAAGAGUAUAGACAUUGGAAUCUGAAAGAUCUGGGUUGGAAUUCUGCUUCAGCCAUUUACUAAUUAUGUAACUUCACAUCUCUGAGAAUGGGGGAAAUUUUCUUUGCAGGGUUGUUACAAAGCUUAAAAGAGUUAAGUCAAGUGCCUGGAACAGAACAGCCAUUCAAUAAAUCAUAGAAAUUUUUGUUUUUACACAAAUUUUUAAAAAGUAAUAUUUUUUGCAUUUGUUAGAAAGACUAUAUUUUCUGUUUAGUGGAUGACAUCAUCAUCAUAAAAAUCACUGUUACAAGUUUUGUUUUGAGAAUUAAAAUCAUAUAUUAAUCCC
Molecule: long non-coding RNA, 3284 nt
Filed under: Homo sapiens (human)
Lineage: Eukaryota; Metazoa; Chordata; Mammalia; Primates; Hominidae
Description: long non-coding RNA NONHSAT006479.2
Source: RNAcentral